GAGUGGAAUAAGGUACUUCAGAAAAGGCAGAGGCACCAGGGAAUUCUUGUGGAGUAGUCCUGUACUUGACCUAAUCACCCUUCAGCCGCUUCUUGGAGAUCUGUGUCCUUGACUGAGAGGCUCAGGGAGUGCAGCCUUUAAUAAGCACCCAUCGGUAUAGGCACACAGGUGACUUUAAGACAUGCCACCAUAUGGAUCUGGUGGCUCGGGCCCAUAAAUUCAGCUAGUCUACUUAGAAGCUAAGGCAGGGGGAUUAUAGGUUCAAGGUCAGCCUGGAAAACUUGGUAAGACUAUCUCAAAAUAAAAUAUAUGUAUUUUUAAAAUGUUUGAAUGGAUAAGGGUUAUGUAGCUCAGUGGUAGAACAAUCGCCUGGCAUGUGAGAGGCCCUGGGUUCUGUCCACUUUCAAAGCUUGGUGCCAGCAUGCCCUCCUGCCUCAGUGGGAGGCUAGGAGACAGACCUGGGGGGGCUUCUUAAGGAUGUGUCAUGGAGGGUCAGCCUUGAGGAGAGGUGCCAGUCUGCCAGGGAAUGAAGAGAUAGAGGAGAGAGAAGUUCAGAGUCUUGUGUAUUGGGGUACCCCAAGGGAAACCCUAAACCAGGUCCAGCAGAGGGCAACACUUUCCCAGCUAACCCAGCUUAGAACAGAGUCAUGACCUGUGGCCAGCCCAGGUCUGCCAUGCAGAAGGCCUCUGAGGUCUAUCGAGACAGCUGGUCGGCUAAAGCCACAGAUGGAGUUACAGUCUUAGAGCUUGAAUUCAGUGAAGGCCUCUUGAGACUGCAGAAAGGAAAGAGGCUGUGGACGUGGCAGAGAAAAGUGUUAGAGAAGUGUGAGAGCAUUAGACAUCCCUUAUAAACCUGAGUGUCAUGGAGUACAGCAUCUAAGAAAACUUCUCCAAAGUGUGUGUGUGUCUGUGUGUCUGUGUGUGUGCGCAUGCGUGCACGUGUGCAAGGUGUACCCAUGAGCCUGAGUCUAUAUGUGUGUCACAUGGCUCUUGAAUCUGUGCAGAAAUAUUGAUACUUCUGUGUGGUGAAUGCCCGGCACAGCUCCAACCUAAGUAGAUGCUUAGCAAUCAAGAGUGUCCAGUGCACUGCACAGAACCAUCCAACUCUUGGGUCUGGAGGACUCACUGAGAGCCUCUGGGCUCUGUACUGGAUCACUCUCACUCCUAGCUCAUGAACAGAGGGGACAGAGACCACAGCUGUUCUGCACUGACAAGGGUUUCCAAGGGUAAGGAGCAAUAUCUCUUCUCCCUGGAGGUGAAGAGACUUCUGGGAUCCAUUCCUGCAAGUGAGCUCAAAGCAGGAGGAAUAGAAGCUAGUUGCUGAGGAAGAGAGUUCAGAGGUGUGGGCAGGCGAGGGGACAGUGAGCAUCUUUAUAUUGUGAUUCCUGGUGGGGCUUGAGUCAGGGCAGUGAGUUUAGUUUCACAGACCAGGCAUCACCACUAGAACCUGACCAUGCGAUGGGCUGGCGAUCCUGAAUAAAGGAAUUCAUCAAGGAGAGUGGGGCAUCAAUGAGAAAGUUGGGCUCUGAGGAUGCUCCCAAGUUCCAGCAAUGUUGGGACUCCUUUAGGGCUCGGCAACCCUGAAGGAAGAACAUAGCUGCUGGCCGACAAGAGGCCACAUGGCACAGGAGUCCCAGAGAAGUCUGGGCUGAGGAACUUCGUAGUGAGUUCUGGGAGCAGAUGUAUGGGGCCCAUGGCUAGCAAACAGGAAAGGAAGGAUGGCCAGAAGGAUGUCUAUGUUGGGGGAGCUGGGGUACCCCCCCAGGAAGUGACUAGUGUCCAGCCCCAUGAAGAGGGAGUCACAUGAGUACCUGUCUCUCUGUUGGAUUUGGUCAGGUUUCCCCGCGGACUGUGGAAGAUGACAGCAUGUGUCGUCAGCAGGUUGAGGAUAUGGUGGAAUGGACAGAUCUGGCCCUGAGGAACUGUGUGAGCCUUCUCCCCUGCUACCAGUGUCCUCAGGAAGAGGAGCUAAUGCAUGUAUAAAGCCAUUACUUCAGAUGGAUGCCUGAAGAGGACAGCAGAGGCAGCAAGUACUGGCACUAUACCCAUUCCCUGGUACCAGUCAGACUUUUCAUCGUCAGUCAGUGUAGGCGACUGAGAGCAACCUGACACAUUCGGUCAUCUCACAGUGAUCAGAAGCAUCUUGGGACUGCUGACCUCCACCCUGAGCAGGGAUGAGAACUUCCCAAGGUGGACUGAUGAGGUGACAGACACUGGAAAGCAGCUUGAUGUUCCCCAGCUGCUUGCUGGUCCAGCUUACCCAACACAAACCAACUCAGUGAUGACACGUGAGUGCCUUUCCAGCCAGUGUGCACUCCUAGGGUCCAGGGCCAGAUACAUGAUCUUCCUGCGUUCCACUGACCCUGCAUUUUCUGAGGAGGUGGCUUGAGGGUCAGGGGUAGGCCAAGAUCUUAGACAGAAGGAGCUUUCAGCCCAUCUUUCCUGGCAUCUCCAUAUGUCAAUCAUGUAAAUCAGUUAGACAAUCUUUGAGGCCAUGAGGGAAUGAACCAACAAACUGUCAGACAGUCAGACAGUCAGUCGGGCAUCGAUUAGAAUAUGGCUGGCCACUAGCCUUGCCAGUCAGACAGUCUGAGUAUCACUCUUUACAUAGCAUGAUCUGGUCACCUUUCUCCAGAGUCCCCUCCUGAGACACCAGGGGGAUGUCCUCUCUGGAGCACUCCCCCUCACCCCUCACUCAGGAGGCUCCUAGGGUCUGAGGUAGUCCUGGCUGGUUGCCCAGCCAUGUCUGAGGAUUCGGACUUGGCAGCCUCCUGCCUGAAGCUUACGAACUGCCCUUCCUCCUCCCUCCCCCUCCCAAGGUGGGAACCCAGGCUCUGCCAAAGAAUUACUAAGCUGUGGUGACGUCAUGUUUCUCUGUCCCCACCGCCCUUAUAGCUUACCCUUCACUCUUGGCUGACCCUUUGAGGAUGACACAUCCCAUGUGGGGGAGGGGCCAUCCCUUCCCUAGGGCAUUUACAGAAGGUCCCCUCUCUCAGCUCAGCACAUGCAGACCAAGGGCUGCCUUCUUCCAGUGGAGUAACUAGGCUCCAGCCAUCAUAUCCAGUCCAAAUGCAAAGUUGGAUGCCUUCACUUACUGGAUGAAUGGCUGGAUGGGAGAGGUUACCUCCUGAACUCGUAUAAUAGGGAGCAGCAAUAGGUCCUUAUUGAGUGGGUUCCAGACUGACAGGAGGAGCCUAGCUUCUGCCUCUAUUUGUACAUGGACCCCUCUGUUUACUUUGAUUGCCUGUGAGAUGCUCACUCCUGCCUUCUUACUGCUGUCCUGCUCACUUAAGGGAAAAGACCAUUCAGUAAUAUGCUUACCAUACAAGGUCAGCAUUGCCUUCCAGGAACCAUCAAGGUCAUCCCCUAUAGUGGGGUAAAGCUUGGGACGGAGGUCCCAGGUUUCCACAUGAAAACUCCCAGCAUCAUCUUGCGCCCUCAGUAUGGUCAACAGCUCCCACCCCAACUCCCAAUGUGAGCUCUUCUUCCUCUCAGCCAAAAACAUUUCUGGGUAGAGGUUUAUGGAGGAUCAGCCUCAGAAUUUAACCAGGCUAUUCACCUCACCCGCUGCCUCCUGGAGUCUGAGAGCACAGAGUUCAGAACCUAGAGGGCUGUCUGCCUGCAGAAGUCUGCCUCCAUUUAAGCAGGAGACCAGAACAGGAGUGGUCCCUGCUGGAGGGCUCUGUCCACAUCCCCAUAGGAUGACCACUAGGCUGCCCUACAGCUGCCACUUCUCUCAGGUGUGCUGGCCAGAAGUCUGCUGCAGCAAGGCCUGUCACAGAGCAAACACUAUUCUCACCAACAGCACCAAGAGUAGAAUCUGAGGGUACUCGGCUCCCCAACAUGGGGGGUCUGUUAGGGAGCACACCCACAAAGUAGCCUGGCAUAAGGGUGUCUCACAAGGCUGUCCCCUUCAUGUAAGAGCAGCUGACGAACAGCCCACCACACUAAGGGGAACUGAUCACGGGAAGGGGAAGCAAGCAUGUGGAAGCACAAGCCAGCCUGAGGUAAGCAUACUUAGCAUGGAUGUAGCCACUGGACCAUGAGCUUGGCAGAGAUGCCAGGAGCAUGUGGUCCAUCGUUGGUAACACUCAAAUGUGACUUUCAGAAUAACAUUUUUUUAAAAAAGUUAGGAAAAUGAAACAAAGAGGGUUAACUAAACCUCAGGGGUAGAGUGCUUGUCUACCAUGCGUGAGGCCCUGGGUUCAAUCCCUGGUAUUGGGGGAAAAGAAAAUAAUGAAACCAGAAAUAGUUCCUCUGGAAGAAUAUAGCAUUAAAGAUUCUCACAGAAAGUGUGUCAAGAAAUAUGAUAUCCUGCUAAAAAAGAAAUCAUAAAACACACAGAGAAAACAGUCCAAACAAACGCAGAAGAAGCAUGGGUAGCAGAAGCAGACCAGGGGCAAUGAAUGGCGCUGUGAUUAGAUUCGGAGGCAGAAUUGAUAGAGUUGUGGGGGUUUUUUGAGACACGUUUCAUACAGCCCAGGCUGACCUUGAACUCUUGUUCCUUGUGCUUCCACCUCCCCUGUGCUGUGAUUACAAGUGCGCACCCCUGUGCCCAGCUCAGGGUGUUCUUGAAAAAAAAAUAAGAGAGACUUGAAAAAUGAGCACUUAACAAGGGGUCACACGAACAAAAUGGCUUGGGGAACUGAGCUCUGGGGAUAAAAUCUUUACAUUGUCAGGACUCAGAGUGCAGGUCAAAGGAACAGGAACAAAGCUGUCCUGACCAUGGGUCCAAGAGAAAGGAUGGGUGAAGUAAGGUGGGGCUAAGGAGACAGCAGGGAGGGCCCAGGGAGGAAGUGAUACCUGAAGAGGUGACAACUGGCAGAUUUUGAACAUUGAAGAAAAGCAUCAGACCUUAGAUCCAGAAAACCCAACACUUCUUAGAACAGGUCACCCAGUCAGCACUCUGGAGGCAGAAGCAGGAGGAUCCCUAUGAGCUUGAGGCCAGCCUGAUCUACCUGGUAAGUUCCAGACCAGCCAGGCCUACGCAGUGAGGCAAUCUCAAAACAAAAGCCAACCAACCAAUUAAAAAACAAAACAACAAAGAACAAAAACUGGGGCUGGAGAGACAUCUCAGCAGUUAGAACAGUAAGUGCUGUUCCAAGGGAUCCAGGUUCAAUUCCCAGCACCCAUAUAACAGCUCACAAUUGUCCAUAACUCCAGUUCCAGGGAUCCAACACACUCGCACAGACACACAUGGCAGACACCUGUGGUGGUUUGAAUAAGAAUGGCCCCCAUAGGCCCACAGAUUUGAAUGCUUGGUCACCAGAGAGUGGUGAUAUUUGAAAGGAUUAGAAGGUAUAGCUUUGGAACAACUGUGCCACUUGGGGGAUGAACUUUGAGACUGUCAAAAGUCUAUUCCAGCAUCCCUCUUCCUGCUGUCUGCAGAGCCAGACGUAGAACUUUUAGCUAUCUUUCCUGCACCAUGUCUGCUUACAUGGUGAAUGAUCCCCACCAUGAUGACAGUGAACUUCACCUCUGAAACUACAACCCCAACUAAAUGUUUUCCUUUAUAAAGGUUGCUGUGGUCAUGGUGUCUCUUCACAGCAAUAGACAACAUCAGUGCACAUAAAAUAAAAUUAAUUCUUGAAAGAGAAAAGAAAAAGGAAAAUGAUAGAAAGUCUUAAACAAACAAGCAGACAAACAUCAACGAAACUGCAUCUACACAUGUGGAUGUGUGCACACAUCACAGCCCAAUGAGCAACAGUCAAGACAGAGCUGGUGGGAGUGGCCAGAACUACCUGCCUCAUCACCCAACAGCCAGUAGGCAGUGGCUUCUUAACAGCUUAGUCCAAUCCAUAAGACAGGGGAGUGGUGUUUUAACAUUUCAGAAACUGGUGUGGCUAAAAGAACAUAACUGUUAAUCUAGAAGCUUCUAUCUCAUGAACCCAGGUUUAUGGUGUAAAGGUGUAGUGAGAAGGAGACUGACAGGUACUCUGAGGACAUAGUUAUCCUCCAUAAGGCCAAGGGCGAGACCAGGAUGCCCAUAGUCCUGAUCUACUUAUCAUGGCAUUGGGCAUUCCAGUCAAGGCAAUCAAGUAAGAGGAAAUGAGAGACUCUAGACUGAAAAGGAGGAAGAUGGCUGUACGUGUAGAUGUCCCCUUGACACUGUCAGAAAAUCCUAAGGAUUAUCUUAGAACUAAUAGACUGUGCUCCGGGCACUCGGACAGCAGCAGCUCUGUAGCUGAGAGUGCUGACUAUGCCUGCAGAGGGCUUGGGUUCAACUCCCAGUACCCACAUGGUGGCUCAUCUGUAACUCCAACCUCAGGGGAUCUGAUGCCAUCUUUUGGCCUCCACUGUUAACUGAUGCAAGCAGUGGGGGGGGAAUACACAUGAAUAAAAAUAAAAUAUUAAAAAGUAUUAAUAGGCCAGGUGUCAGCAGUGCACUCUUUUAAUCCCAGCACUCAGGAGGCAAAGGCAGGUGCAUCUCUGUGAGUUUAAGGUCAGCCUGGGCUACAGAGAGAAUUCCAGGACAGCCAGUGCCACACAUGCCUCGAAUAAAAUAAAAUAAAACAAAAAGAACUAACAAUUACUUUUUAUAUCUUUUUUCAUAAAUCAUGUCUGUCAUCCUACCUUUGUUUCUUUAUUAUCCCCUGACAUUCAGCCUUCCUUGCUCUCUUUUCUACCUGCUUUGACGUUCCGACAUGCACACUUAUUUACACAUCUACAUAUAUUAUUGGCUAGAUUCUGCAUAUGAGGGAAAGUAGGUGGUUUGUUUCUGCGAUUAUGUGACUCACUUAAUUCCUGAAAAAUUAAUGGUGGACAGCAAGGUUGAUUCCAGUUCUUUGCUGUUGGGAAGAUGGCAGCCACAAGCACGAGGCUGUAAAUACCUCUGUUAGGGACCUGUGUUCUCUGGGCAUAGUGUUCCUCUAGCUCUGAGUCUGCUUUUUGGGUUUUGUUGUUGUUUUGUUUUGUUUUGUUGUUGUUUUGUUUUGUUUUGUUUUGUGGUAGUUGCGGAUAAGUCCAAAAUUACAUUUGCUAGUGAGAGUGUAAGGUACAAUGUGAAGUGUUACAGCUUCCAUUCCAAAUGGCUAUUCUAACUGUUUAGAUGCUCGUUGAGGAAUAUAGACGUUGAGUCUGGUUGACUCUGAUGUGCGAUGUUUUUACAUUUGCUAGUCUUUUAUAAUAAAGUUUAAAAGUCUUUAAAAAGAGUCAACAAACAUGUUCAUCAAGGAUGCCGGGGCUAAGAUCAGUGUACAACUCCCCUCUUGUUUCUCUAGCACUAACCCUGAUGGACUUAAGAUAACAGCACCAUUUUCCGUGGCAUCAAAAUGAGUAAAAUACUCAGGAAUACAGUUAACAAAAGAAAGGCAAAGAUUUCUUCCUAAAACCAUCAGUUAUUGCUGACAUAAAUUAAAGGGAGCAUAAAUAGAUGGAAAUGUCUCCUUCUCCAUCCACUGGGAGAUUUCACGUUGUUCAGAGGACGAUACAGUGCAAAUUGAUUUGCACACUCAGUGCAACUCCUAUCAGAAUUCCAGCAGGCUGUUUUUACAGAAAGUGACAGGCUCAUCCUAAAAUGAAUAUGGAAAUUUAGGGGAAAAAGAAGAACUAAAACAAACUUGAAAAAGAACAAAGUUGGAGGCUUGGCACUCCCUGAGUUUAAACCAACCAUGACACUUUUAAGUAAUGAAGACAAUAUGACUUUGGCAGUGCCUGGAUCAAUGGAACAGCACUGAGAUCCUAGAAAUAAACCCGACAGGAACAGAAAAGGUGCCAAGACAAUUCGGUGGGCAAAGAAUAUUCUUUUCAACAAAUGGUUCUCAAGCAACUGAGUAUCAACACACAGAAGAAUGGAGUCGGGCUCUUUCCUCACACUGAGUACUAAAAUUAUCUGAAAAUCGAUCACAAGCCUAUAUCAACCAAAAAUGUUAACCCUCCUCAGAAUGCGUAGGAGGGAAGAUGAAAUCCUAAGAAGACCCUAACCCCAAAAGGAUAUCAAAAGGAAAAGCAGACAAAAAUGUCUGUGCCGUGACAAACACUAGGAGACAGUUCAGGGGACUGCAGCUCCUGAAAAAUGUGUCUGCAGACACACAAGAGUUAGUGCCAGACAGCAGGGAGGGGACCACCAGACUGACAAGCAGGCAGAGGGGUGAUGGGUGUGUGCAGGGUGGUGUGCUGGAAGGCCAGGCAAAAGAUUUGAAGAUCCUUUUCUUUGACCAGGCUGUAUGAAUGUCCGUGGGCACAUGGGGGAGGGGAUUAACAUUAUUAGCUAUUAGGGAAAUGCAAAUCAACACUAAUAUGAGAUAUUACUACUUCACACCUGGUAAGAUGG
Molecule: non-coding RNA, 8272 nt
Organism: Rattus norvegicus (Norway rat)
Lineage: Eukaryota; Metazoa; Chordata; Mammalia; Rodentia; Muridae
Source: RefSeq, a predicted model, not a curated record